Molecule: ribosomal RNA, 449 nt
Filed under: uncultured bacterium
Lineage: Bacteria
Description: partial 16S ribosomal RNA
Rfam family: Bacterial small subunit ribosomal RNA
Source: RNAcentral
AGCGAACGCUGGCGGCAGGCCUAACACAUGCAAGUCGAACGGACCCUUCGGGGUUAGUGGCGGACGGGUGAGUAACACGUGGGAACGUGCCUUUAGGUUCGGAAUAGCUCCUGGAAACGGGUGGUAAUGCCGAAUGUGCCCUUCGGGGGAAAGAUUUAUCGCCUUUAGAGCGGCCCGCGUCUGAUUAGCUAGUUGGUGAGGUAAUGGCUCACCAAGGCUACGAUCAGUAGCUGGUCUGAGAGGAUGACCAGCCACACUGGGACUGAGACACGGCCCAGACUCCUACGGGAGGCAGCAGUGGGGAAUCUUGCGCAAUGGGCGAAAGCCUGACGCAGCCAUGCCGCGUGAAUGAUGAAGGUCUUAGGAUUGUAAAAUUCCUUCACCGGGGACGAUAAUGACGGUACCCGGAGAAGAAGCCCCGGCUAACUUCGUGCCAGUCGCCGCUGUAA